RNAcentral lists this transfer RNA (538 nucleotides) under uncultured cyanobacterium. Its description in RNAcentral is "partial 16S-23S ribosomal RNA intergenic spacer". The stretch from base 209 to 281 matches the Rfam family "tRNA". The record is from RNAcentral. Lineage: Bacteria; Bacillati; Cyanobacteriota.
CAGGGAGACAACAAAAUGUUAAAUAUUAUUUUGUCACCUUAGGUCGAUCGGUAUCUCACGUUCUUAAUUUAUUAAGAAUUUCAUUUCCUAAGUUUUUCUAGGUCACACCCAUUAUUUUUCCUGGGCCAUUAGCUCAGGUGGUUAGAGCGCACCCCUGAUAAGGGUGAGGUCCCUGGUUCAAGUCCAGGAUGGCCCAUAUCUCUAUGUUGGGGGUAUAGCUCAGUUGGUAGAGCGCCUGCUUUGCAAGCAGGAUGUCAGCGGUUCGAGUCCGCUUACCUCCACUGAUUACCACCUCUUCCAUAAUCGGUAGAAAGGAAAUCUUUUGAGUUGUGAUCAAAUUCUGAACGAAUCUAGCUUCCUAAUGUAAUCAUUAAGAUGCUGGACUCAUUGAAUUAAUUUCAUUGUUUUCAGAGAACCUUGACAACUGCAUAGAUUAUUUUUAAAAGACAAUAAGCAUCUUUAAUGAUGCAGAUUUAUUAUUUGUGCGAAUGCAUUAAUAACAAUUCUAUUAAGCUGAUGCUUCAAUUUUGAAGUUAUU